RNAcentral lists this ribosomal RNA (392 nucleotides) under uncultured bacterium. Its description in RNAcentral is "partial 16S ribosomal RNA". It matches the Rfam family "Bacterial small subunit ribosomal RNA", at positions 523 to 918 of the family's 1533-position model. The record is from RNAcentral.
AUACGGAGGAUCCGAGCGUUAUCCGGAUUUAUUGGGUUUAAAGGGUGCGCAGGCGGCCAUUUAAGUCAGCGGUUAAAUCGUGGGGCUCAACCCCAUUCUGCCGUUGAUACUGGGUGGCUUGAUUGCGGUCGAGGUUGGCGGAAUUCGUUGUGUAGCGGUGAAAUGCAUAGAUAUGACGAAGAACACCGAUUGCGUAGGCAGCUGACCAGACCGCAAAUGACGCUCAUGCACGAAAGUGCGGGGAUCGAACAGGAUUAGAUACCCUGGUAGUCCGCACAGUAAUCGAUGAAUACUUGUUUUCGGCGAUAUAAUGUCGGAGGCAAAGCGAAAGCGAUAAGUAUUCCACCUGGGGAGUACGCCGGCAACGGUGAAACUCAAAUGAAUUGGCGGGG